RNAcentral lists this long non-coding RNA (257 nucleotides) under Salvia miltiorrhiza (redroot sage). Its description in RNAcentral is "long non-coding RNA (SMIL_LNC012838)". Lineage: Eukaryota; Viridiplantae; Streptophyta; Magnoliopsida; Lamiales; Lamiaceae. The record is from RNAcentral.
UUAAUUUCAAAAACUUUGACUUUCCCACCCAGCCCUAGUCCUUCUUCCUUCCUUCUUGCUGCCCGCCUCCCUCUCUGUUCCAAACUUUCCUUGCCCUCCCGUCCCUCUGCCCGCCUCCCCCAGCCUCCUCAUGCGGCGCGCCGGCGCCGACCUCCGUCGCCCCCAGCCAGGUCGCGAGCCUUCCCCAGCCGAAAUACCGAGCAGACGCCGCCAGCCGCGCAGGACGCAGGACGCAGCUGCCGCCAUCGUCCCAGCAA